RNAcentral lists this long non-coding RNA (506 nucleotides) under Setaria viridis. RNAcentral describes it as "long non-coding RNA (SVIR_LNC007069)". The record is from RNAcentral. Lineage: Eukaryota; Viridiplantae; Streptophyta; Magnoliopsida; Poales; Poaceae.
GGAGUAUGUGCUAAUCAUAUCCAUCAUAGUUAAUAAUAUCUUAUAUCAAGCAUAGUAUAUCAAUUUGAUCAUGUGUAUAUUGCUAUACACAUAUCUGGACUAUGCUAUUUAGUCGUUUACAUUCAUGACUUAUCUUCAAAUUAAUUAAAUAAGAUCUAUAAAUGGUACUUAUUGUAUGGACUGCAUGCUCAACUGGAGAGCUAGACAUCUAUCUUUAGCUAAAAAAUCUCGGAUGGAAAAGAAUCCAUUCUAAUGAAGUAACGAAGUAUUAGUACCGGGUCUAACGACUAUAUUCAAUGGGGGUUCAUUAGUACCGCUUGGUGCUACGAGCCCCAUUUAGUACCGGUUUCAAUAGCUAGUUUCCGGCAGGGGCUCAAUAGUACUGGUUGGUGCCUCUAUUAGUAUCGGUUGGUGUUAUCAACUGGUACAAAUGUUCAUUGGACCAAUUUGUACUGUUGGUAACACCAAUCGGUACUAAAAGAUGCAUGUAUAAAGUAGAUUUCUUC